RNAcentral lists this small nuclear RNA (22 nucleotides) under Arabidopsis thaliana (thale cress). RNAcentral describes it as "snRNA_15334". Lineage: Eukaryota; Viridiplantae; Streptophyta; Magnoliopsida; Brassicales; Brassicaceae. The record is from RNAcentral.
AGAUAAUAUAUAGGGAACCCAA